GACGAACGCUGGCGGCGUGCUUAACACAUGCAAGUCGAACGGAAAGGCCCUGCUUUUGUGGGGUGCUCGAGUGGCGAACGGGUGAGUAACACGUGAGUAACCUGCCCUUGACUUUGGGAUAACUUCAGGAAACUGGGGCUAAUACCGGAUAGGAGCUCCUGCUGCAUGGUGGUGGUUGGAAAGUUUCGGCGGUUGGGGAUGGACUCGCGGCUUAUCAGCUUGUUGGUGGGGUAGUGGCUGACCAAGGCUUUGACGGGUAGCCGGCCUGAGAGGGUGACCGGCCACAGUGGGACUGAGAUACGGCCCAGACUCCUACGGGAGGCAGCAGUGGGGAAUAUUGCACAAUGGGCGGAAGCCUGAUGCAGCAACGCCGCGUGCGGGAUGACGGCCUUCGGGUUGUAAACCGCUUUCGCCUGUGACGAAGCGUGAGUGACGGUAAUGGGUAAAGAAGCACCGGCUAACUACGUG
RNAcentral lists this ribosomal RNA (468 nucleotides) under uncultured bacterium. Its description in RNAcentral is "partial 16S ribosomal RNA". It matches the Rfam family "Bacterial small subunit ribosomal RNA", at positions 28 to 507 of the family's 1533-position model. The record is from RNAcentral.